This 258-nucleotide ribosomal RNA is filed under the name Escherichia coli. RNAcentral describes it as "partial 16S ribosomal RNA". It matches the Rfam family "Bacterial small subunit ribosomal RNA", at positions 306 to 556 of the family's 1533-position model. Lineage: Bacteria; Pseudomonadati; Pseudomonadota; Gammaproteobacteria; Enterobacterales; Enterobacteriaceae. The record is from RNAcentral.
AGCCACACUGGAACUGAGACACGGUCCAGACUCCUACGGGAGGCAGCAGUGGGGAAUAUUGCACAAUGGGCGCAAGCCUGAUGCAGCCAUGCCGCGUGUAUGAAGAAGGCCUUCGGGUUGUAAAGUACUUUCAGCGGGGAGGAAGGGAGUAAAGUUAAUACCUUUGCUCAUUGACGUUACCCGCAGAAGAAGCACCGGCUAACUCCGUGCCAGCAGCCGCGGUAAUACGGAGGGUGCAAGCGUUAAUCGGAAUUACUG